GCUUGUCUCAAAGAUUAAGCCAUGCAUGUCUUAGUGUAAAUAACUCUUAUGAAACUGCGAAUGGCUCAUUAAAUCAGUUAUCAAAUACGUGAUGGUCGCCUACUACAUGGAUAACCGUAGUAAUUCUAGAGCUAAUACAUGCAGGAAGACCCGACUCACGAAGGGUUGUAUUUAUUAGAUAAGAAACCUUCCCCUUUGGGUUGCGUGCCGAGUCACAAUAACUGCUCGAAUCGCAUGGCUUCACGCCGGCGAUGGUUCAUUCAAAUUUCUGCCCUAUCAGCUUUCGAUGGUAGGAUCGAGGCCUACCAUGGCGUUUACGGGUAACGGAGAAUUAGGGUUCGAUUCCGGAGAGGGAGCCUGAGAGAUGGCUACCACAUCCAAGGAAGGCAGCAGG
RNAcentral lists this ribosomal RNA (394 nucleotides) under Chrysochromulina parva. RNAcentral's name for it is "partial small subunit ribosomal RNA". It matches the Rfam family "Eukaryotic small subunit ribosomal RNA", at positions 30 to 432 of the family's 1831-position model. Lineage: Eukaryota; Haptophyta; Prymnesiales; Chrysochromulinaceae. The record is from RNAcentral.